UAGCCACCCAGUUUAGAGCUCCCAGCCUCAGUGUGUCUUGUGACACAGGGACCAUGACGGAAAUUCAUCUUCCAGAAAGUCCCAGAGCAGCGUCCACACCCCCUGAAAAGACCAAGAUGUGAGGUGUCUGCUGUUGAUUCCAGCUUCCACCUCAGUGACAGUGCAAGAUCAGUGAACUGUUCAAGGACACUCAGCAAAAUAUGGACUCUACACCAUGAGGCAGGCACACGUUAAUAUUCUAUAAGAGCACAUAAGCAUGAGGAUGUCCUCACACACCUGUAACCUAUCAGCUCAUCUGGAAGAAUAGAGAGAGAAGAGACAACACCACAUCUCCUGUUCCUGGAAAGCCUUCAGCCAUCCUUCGAUGACUGAGAACCUCCAUCAGCUCUGUCUCCUGUCUGCCUACAAUUAUUAUAAUAAAUACUGUGUUUGACAAGUUU
Long non-coding RNA from Nothobranchius furzeri (turquoise killifish), 440 nucleotides. RefSeq lists it as uncharacterized. NCBI's taxonomy places the organism in Eukaryota, Metazoa, Chordata, Actinopteri, Cyprinodontiformes, Nothobranchiidae. The record is from RefSeq and is a predicted model, not a curated record.